CAAGUUGAGGAGUUAUUGGCAAAAAGGCAUGUGAGAGAGAGCAUGAGUCCAUGUGCAAUUUCAGUGCUAUUAGUGCAUAAGAAUGAUGGUUCUUGAAGGAUGUGUAUUGACUGUCGAGCUGUCAACAAGAUUACGUUAAAGUAUAGACAUCCCAUUCCUAGGCUAGAUGACAUUUUAGAUGAAUUGCAAGGUGCUUGUGUCUUUUCGAAAAUUGAUUUGAAAAGUAGAUACCACUAGAUUAGGAUGAAUGUAAGAGAUGAGGGGAAAACUGCUUUCAAAACAAAAU
Molecule: unclassified non-coding RNA, 286 nt
Filed under: Hevea brasiliensis (rubber tree)
Lineage: Eukaryota; Viridiplantae; Streptophyta; Magnoliopsida; Malpighiales; Euphorbiaceae
Source: RNAcentral